Molecule: ribosomal RNA, 515 nt
Filed under: Dorcadion fulvum
Lineage: Eukaryota; Metazoa; Arthropoda; Insecta; Coleoptera; Cerambycidae
Description: partial large subunit ribosomal RNA
Rfam family: Bacterial large subunit ribosomal RNA
Source: RNAcentral
GGCCUUUUGGUUAUAAUUUAAGGUCUAGCCUGCCCACUGAAUAUUAAAGGGCCGCGGUACUUUGACCGUGCUAAGGUAGCAUAAUCAUUAGUUUUUUAAUUGAAAGCUGGAAUGAAUGGUUGGAUGAGAAAAAAACUGUCUCUAUUUAAUUUUUAUUGAAUUUUAUAUUUAAGUAAGAAAGCUUAAAUUUUUUUAAAAGACGAGAAGACCCUAUAGAGUUUUAUAAAAAAUUGAUAAGUUGAAUUAUAGAAUUUUAUUUUUAAUUUUUUUAUUUUUUAUUUGAUUGGGGCGAUUGAAAAAUUAAAAUAACUUUUUUUAUAUUAGUCCAUUAAUAUAUGAAUAUAUGAUCCAUAAUUUUGUGAUUAUAAGAUUAAAUUACCUUAGGGAUAACAGCGUAAUUUUUUUUGAGAGUUCAAAUUGAAAAAAAAGUUUGCGACCUCGAUGUUGGAUUAAAAUUAAUUUUUGGUGUAGAGGCUAAAAAAUUGGGUCUGUUCGACCUUUAAAAUUUUACAUGA